AUUGAACGCUGGCGGAAUGCUUUACACAUGCAAGUCGAACGGCAGCACGGGAGCAAUCCUGGUGGCGAGUGGCGAACGGGUGAGUAAUAUAUCGGAACGUGCCCAGUCGUGGGGAUAACGUAGCGAAAGCUACGCUAAUACCGCAUACGAUCUAUGGAUGAAAGCGGGGGAUCGCAAGACCUCGCGCGAUUGGAGCGGCCGAUAUCAGAUUAGGUAGUUGGUGAGGUAAAGGUUCACCAAGCCGACGAUCUGUAGCUGGUCUGAGGGGACGACCAGCCACACUGGGACUGAGACACGGCCCAGACUCCUACGGGAGGCAGCAGUGGGGAAUUUUGGACAAUGGGCGCAAGCCUGAUCCAGCAAUGCCGCGUGCAGGAUGAAGGCCUCGGUUGUAACUGCUUUGUACGGUAACGAAACGGUAGAGCUCUAAUACAGUUUGUCUAAUGACGGUACCGUAAGAAUAAG
This 465-nucleotide ribosomal RNA is filed under the name uncultured bacterium. Its description in RNAcentral is "bacterial SSU rRNA". It matches the Rfam family "Bacterial small subunit ribosomal RNA", at positions 30 to 490 of the family's 1533-position model. The record is from RNAcentral.